UCAGAAGGUAUGGAUAGUACCCCAUAGC
Molecule: non-coding RNA, 28 nt
Filed under: Rattus norvegicus (Norway rat)
Lineage: Eukaryota; Metazoa; Chordata; Mammalia; Rodentia; Muridae
Source: RNAcentral